This 403-nucleotide ribosomal RNA is filed under the name uncultured bacterium. Its description in RNAcentral is "partial 16S ribosomal RNA". It matches the Rfam family "Bacterial small subunit ribosomal RNA", at positions 28 to 526 of the family's 1533-position model. The record is from RNAcentral.
GACGAACGCUGGCGGCGUGCCUAAUACAUGCAAGUCGAACGCAGUGGGGACGGGUGAGUAACACGUGGGUAACCUCCCAUCAGAGGGGAUAACACUUGGACACAGGUGCUAAACCGAUCGUGGAGGAUGGACCCGCGGUGCAUUAGCUAGUUGGUGCGGUAACGGCUCACAAAGGCCACGAUGCAUAGCCCACCUGAGAGGGUGAUCGGCCACACUGGCACUGAGACAAGGCCCAGAAGCCUACGGGAGGCAGCAGUAGGGAAUCGUCGGCAAUGGACGAAAGUCUGACCGAGCAACGCCGCGUGAGUGAAGAAGGUUGUCGGAUCGUAAAACUCUGUUGUUAGAGAAGCGGUAUUUAACCAGAAAGCCACGGCUAACGACGUGCCAGCCGCCGCGGUAAGAC